GUGGAGGUUUGGCUCAGUGGCUACUUCCUCAUAUUGUCCAAUGAUCUCACCCUGUCGGUCCGCGGGCCUUGGGUACGAUACCACGGGCGCUGCCCUCCACCUUU
Molecule: vault RNA, 104 nt
Filed under: Sphaeramia orbicularis (orbiculate cardinalfish)
Lineage: Eukaryota; Metazoa; Chordata; Actinopteri; Kurtiformes; Apogonidae
Description: Vault RNA (ENSSORG00005007847.1)
Rfam family: Vault RNA
About the family: This family of RNAs are found as part of the enigmatic vault ribonucleoprotein complex. The complex consists of a major vault protein (MVP), two minor vault proteins (VPARP and TEP1), and several small untranslated RNA molecules.
Source: Rfam by way of RNAcentral